RNAcentral lists this long non-coding RNA (3983 nucleotides) under Solanum tuberosum (potato). RNAcentral describes it as "long non-coding RNA (STUB_LNC002950)". The record is from RNAcentral. Lineage: Eukaryota; Viridiplantae; Streptophyta; Magnoliopsida; Solanales; Solanaceae.
GGGGCGUGUUGGAAUUCUUAAGAAUAGAGAGAAGCACAAGGGUAGCUUUGAGACAGUUCACAUUCAGGAUUCCCUGGGGCAUGAGUUUGCUACCCGUUUGGGAAAUGUGUUCACUCUUGGUAAAGGUAGUAAGCCAUGGGUGUCUCUACCUAAGGGUAAAGGUAUCAAGUUAUCUAUCAUUGAAGAGGCUCGCAAGAGGAUGGCUACUCAAUCAGCUACAACUGCUUAAAAAUGAUAGGUUGAACUUGAGAUGAAUUUAAUAGAUUGGGCCAUGUUUCUCUUUGUUUAGAGGGAUGACAUUCUUAUUUUGUGUGUUGCAUUUCAACAUCUGUGUACUCGGUACUGAUUUACUUGCCUUCUUUUGUCGGGAAAAAAGGUAGACUGAGUUGAGAUCAAUCAGUUGCCUUUUAUGUGAUAGUAUUUUAUUGCGACAGAGUUUAAGGACCUUGUCCAUUAGUAUAUUCACUUAUUUCAAAAUGAGUUUUUGGUUGUAAUAUUUUCAAAUCUAACCUGGAGUUGGAUUCCAAAUUUGGUUUAGUGCAGUAAACCUGAUUCCUAGUUUCAUUUUCAUAAACUUCAUAUAAAGUGGGCUCUUUUGUCCAGCAAAUAGUAUAAUCAAACAUAACUGUCUAAUUUGAUAAAUUUUCGGAAUCUAUUUCCAAAUGAUUUUUGAUUUCGAUGUAAUUUUGUGUUCUUUUUGUUAAUGAGUUAUUUCACCAGAGUUAAAAUGAGAAGUUUAGUUAUAAAUUAUUUAGCAUAUCACUUAACUGAGUGAGUACAAUCAAGUAUUAAUGACUCUUGAUAAUGGUUAACAUAAUCCAUUAUUUAUUAUUAACGGGAAGGGAAAGUGGAAAUUGUGUGUUCUCACCAACAAGAUGAAAGUUUUCCAGUCGAAGUUAUUAUAUGCUUCUCUAGAUGCAAUUAGUUUUCUAGUGACAACUCUUUAAGGCAAAAGAUCAACUAAAACUAUUUAGUUCAUAAAUAGUGAUUUUAUUUCUGCUAAUUUAAGUGUCCAAAUCCAUUUUAUGUAUAGGUGUUAAGAUUGAAUACAAAGUUUAAAGAAAUUAUCUCUGAAAAUCGAUGAUAUGAAAAGUUUGACAUGUCUAUUCAUUUUCCUUUUUAUAUAAAAAAAAAACUUCAAUGUCAAGUGGGUGCUUUGCAAAUAGUUAGUACAACAUAAAUCGCAGUAAGUUAUAUUUGGCACAAAACGAACACUUAGUAGACAUAAAAAUGCACAACUUGGUACGCCUUAGUAGAAAUAAACAUGGUGUUUAACGAAAGAGCAAAUAGAACCUAACGGUAAACUCUCACGUCAAUUCCAUCACAAUAGUAAAUUGUUGCCUGCAUAACAAAAUAGAAUGUUAUACUUGGUUUUCAAGCUAGAAAUAAGGAGAUGCAUCCUAUUAGGUGUAUUUACUACCAAAUUCAAAGUCUUAUUACAUAGCUUGAACAUCAUUAUUUCAGAUAAAUAUAGAGGCUAUGUUUGUUGGGCCGCAUAAACGAAGUUACUCAGCCCGUGUAAUUUGUUGGAUAAAUAAGGCCCAUAUUCUGGGUGAUUUAGACGGCCCAACAUGCUUUAGGCCCAAAACAAAUUGGGCGUAUGAGGUAUGUACUAUAGUAUUUAAGAGAUUGUAUCUUCAUCUCGUUAGGGUUUAAGACACACACCUCUCGCCGGUAGCCGUCACUCGUGCCAGCUAAUCAGUCGGAAAACCGCCAAAAUGGUUUGUUUUCUCUCUCUGUUAAUUCAUCUCGUCAAUGUUGUUUAGCUUAUUGUGUGUUGCCUGAUAGAUCAGUUGUAUUUUAAUCUUCAUGGCUUUUGUUCCAGGUCUAGACUGUACUGUAUCAGUUAUACCUUUGCUAAUUGUUUGCUAUUUGCGUAAUGCAUCUGAGAUAAUAUUCUUGGAUGUUCCUUUCGAUUUAUGCGCUCAAAUGUAUGUGUUGAUCUCAAGUGCUGCUGGUUAAUUUUAGGGCUCGUAUGUGGAAAUAAUCAAUUGCAUUAGUUACUGUGGCCAAUAGUGUAUACAGUUUUUUCUAAUUGUAUUUUGCUGUCAUUGUGAUUGCUGUUGCACUCUGUGUUGUGCUGUAUCCUACUGGAUUGUUUCAAUGAAUACAACAUUUCGAUAGAUUUUAUGGUUCUACAGAUAGAGCUACUUUAAAAAAUUAAUUUUAAGACAAAAUAAGAUUACUAAAUAAUUAGUAAAGACAUAGUGAGUAAAUAAAUAAAUCAGGCCAAAUUGGUCGUUACACAAAGUGAAACCAAUACCUAACUGUUGAUUUAAUGAUAGCUUAGGAUUUGGACAAUGAAAUUGUGUAGUAUAGUUCAAGUUGUUUACUAGAUGUAUUGAAAAAACGUUCUUUACCUUUGUGAAAGAACAUGUUUCUAGCGUUGUUUGACAUGGAUAAAUAUUAAUAAAAAGCUGUGGAAUAGCUCCCCUUUUUAUUUUUGGUAAAUUGACUUUUGUUCUUUCAGCUUUCAUUUAUAUAAGUGGUAAGAUUUUUGCAUUUAGGCUUUGGAAACAUUAUACUAAAGUGAAUUUCGUAACUUCUUCUCUAUAUAUAGGCAAGAGGGUUGAAGAAACAUUUGAAGAGGCUCAAUGCGCCUAAGCAUUGGAUGCUUGAUAAACUUGGAGGUGCUUUUGUAAGUGACGUGUCUUUCCCUUGGGUCUUUGUUUUAAUAGAACUACUUAGUUUCCUGCUUCUUGACUUUACUGUUCUCUUUGGUCUCUACUGCAGGCUCCCAAGCCUUCUUCUGGUCCACAUAAAUCAAGGGAAUGUUUGCCAUUGGUUAUUAUCCUCAGGAACAGGUUGAAAUAUGCUUUGACAUACCGUGAGGUCAUUUCUAUCUUGAUGCAACGCCAAGUUAUGGUUGAUGGGAAAGUUAGGACAGAUAAGACUUACCCUGCUGGUUUCAUGGGUAAGAACACCUCCAUUAGAUUGUUUUUUCAUUUCAUAACCUUUAGAUUAUGUUUUCCUUAUCUGUACUGUCUAGGUUUUGUUCAUUUCCAGACGAAAGUAAUACUCUACUGAUUCAUCUAUAUACACAUGCUUUCACAGUUCCAAAGACAAUUGUUGAUCCAAGUGUCUACAAGUUUUUUCAUUAAAAAUCAUUGUCUCAUCUCUGUUAUUUCAUUUUUUCUUGUUUCUAUGCUUGUUGAAUCCCUUGACAAAUUGGUAAUGCUGUUAUUUUCUUUGUGUAGAUGUUGUUACUAUUCCAAAGACAAAUGAGAGUUUCCGACUUCUUUAUGACACUAAGGGUCGGUUCCGUCUCCACUCACUCAGAGAUGAGGAGGCCAAGGUUUGAACCUGUUUCCUGCUCCUUUAUUCCGGUUUCCUUUGGAUGCCGUGCUGUUUAAGUAGUGACCUUGUUUUCUGCUCUUUGCAGUUGAAACUUUGUAAGGUUCGAUCAGUGCAGUUUGGACAGAAAGGGAUCCCAUAUCUCAACACUUAUGAUGGAAGAACAAUCCGCUACCCUGAUCCCCUCAUCAAGGCCAAUGACACCAUCAAGCUUGACUUAGAUUCCAAUAAGAUUGUUGACUUCAUCAAAUUUGAUGUUGGAAAUGUGGUCAUGGUUACUGGUGGUAGAAACAGGGGGCGUGUUGGAAUUCUUAAGAACAGAGAGAAGCACAAGGGUAGCUUUGAGACAGUUCACAUUCAGGAUUCCCUGGGGCAUGAGUUUGCUACCCGUUUGGGAAAUGUGUUCACUCUUGGUAAAGGUAGUAAGCCAUGGGUGUCUCUACCUAAGGGUAAAGGUAUCAAGUUAUCUAUCAUUGAAGAGGCUCGCAAGAGGAUGGCUACUCAAUCAGCUACAACUGCUUAAAAAUGAUGGGUUGAACUUGUGAUAAAUUUAACAGGUUGGGCCAUGUUUCUCUUUGUUUAGAGAUACCAAUCUUAUUCUGUAUGUUGGAUUUUAACAUUUUUGUACUCGGUACCGUUUAACUUUGUUUUGUUGGGAAAAGAGGUUGACUGAGUUUAAGAUCAUUCAU